Molecule: RNase P RNA, 388 nt
Filed under: Saprospiraceae bacterium
Lineage: Bacteria; Pseudomonadati; Bacteroidota; Saprospiria; Saprospirales; Saprospiraceae
Description: RNase P RNA component class A
Rfam family: Bacterial RNase P class A
About the family: Ribonuclease P (RNase P) is a ubiquitous endoribonuclease, found in archaea, bacteria and eukarya as well as chloroplasts and mitochondria. Its best characterised activity is the generation of mature 5'-ends of tRNAs by cleaving the 5'-leader elements of precursor-tRNAs.
Source: RNAcentral
UUAUGAAAGGAGGUCGUCGCUGCGCAAGCAGAGGAAAGUCCGGACAGCAUAGAGCAUCGUACCACUUAACGAGUGGGAGACUGAUAUAAUGGUAAAUUGGUCUUGAGAAAGUGUCACAGAAAAUUACCGCCUUGAGUCAUCAAGGUAAGGGUGAAAACGGGUGGUAAGAGCACCCGCAAGCAUGAGUAAUCAUGUUUUGGGAUAAACCUUACGAGUUGAAAUGCCAUGUAAAUCUUGUUCCUGUUAUGGGAAAUUUCUGCUCGAAGUGCUUCUAAAGAAGGCAAGAAGGGUAGGCAGUUUGAGCUUUUUGGUGACAAAAAGUCUAGUUAAAUGACGGUCGAGCUAAUUCGUUAGUUUACAGAAUCCGGCUUAUGAAUUUCAAGGAGGG